This 72-nucleotide transfer RNA is filed under the name Candidatus Falkowiibacteriota bacterium. Its description in RNAcentral is "Candidatus Falkowbacteria bacterium tRNA-Glu". It matches the Rfam family "tRNA". From Rfam's summary of the family: Transfer RNA (tRNA) molecules are approximately 80 nucleotides in length. Their secondary structure includes four short double-helical elements and three loops (D, anti-codon, and T loops). The record is from RNAcentral. Lineage: Bacteria; Candidatus Falkowiibacteriota.
GGUCCCAUCGUCUAACGGUUAGGACGCCAGGUUUUCAUCCUGGUAAUAGGGGUUCAAUUCCCCUUGGGACUA